GAUGAACGCUGGCGGCGUGCUUAAUACAUGCAAGUCGAGCGAAGCACUUUAACGGAAUUCUUCGGAAGGAAGAUAAAGUGACUGAGCGGCGGACGGGUGAGUAACGCGUGGGUAACCUGCCUCAUACAGGGGGAUAACAGUUAGAAAUGACUGCUAAUACCGCAUAAGCGCACAGGACCGCAUGGUCUGGUGUGAAAAACUCCGGUGGUAUGAGAUGGAUCCGCGUUGGAUUAGCUAGUUGGUGGGGUAACGGCCUACCAAGGCGACGAUCCAUAGCCGGCCUGAGAGGGUGGACGGCCACAUUGGGACUGAGACACGGCCCAGACUCCUACGGGAGGCAGCAGUAGGGAAUAUUGCACAAUGGGGGAAACCCUGAUGCAGCGACGCCGCGUGAAGGAAGAAGUAUCUCGGUAUGUAAACUUCUAUCAGCAGGGAAGACAAUGACGGUACCUGACUAAGAAGCCCCGGCUAACUACGUGCCAGCAGCCGCGGUAAUACGUAGGGGGCAAGCGUUAUCCGGAUUUACUGGGUGUAAAGGGAGCGUAGACGGACGGGCAAGUCUGAAGUGAAAGGCAGGGGCUCAACUCCUGGACUGCUUUGGAAACUGUCCAUCUAGAGUGCCGGAGAGGUAAGCGGAAUUCCUAGUGUAGCGGUGAAAUGCGUAGAUAUUAGGAGGAACACCAGUGGCGAAGGCGG
Molecule: ribosomal RNA, 696 nt
Filed under: uncultured Lachnospiraceae bacterium
Lineage: Bacteria; Bacillati; Bacillota; Clostridia; Lachnospirales; Lachnospiraceae
Description: bacterial SSU rRNA
Rfam family: Bacterial small subunit ribosomal RNA
Source: RNAcentral